GGCCAAGGCAGGAAGACUGCUUGAGGCCAGGAGUUUGGGACCAGCCUGGACAACAUAGUAAGACCCGUCUCUACAAAAAUAAAAACAAAAAAAUUCCACACACAAAAACUACAGCAACAAUAGAGAAAUAUGAUGAGCCGCAGCUCAACAGGGCAAGUCAGCAAUGGAAGAGACCAAAGCCUUGGGGAGCCCAGAUGGAGAGAGCAAGAGAAGGCUCCGGGUCUCUGAUGGACAACGGCUGCACCUGAGCCAGGUGUGCUCAGACAGGCCUUCAGAGAAAAGACUGAGGUUCCCUAAGAAGGAAGGAAUUCUGCCCCCACACUGCCUUUGAAUUGGGACUCACGCUGCACCGCAUCAUCAUCUCUUGCUAGAAUUUCCAGACUGCCCUGCAAAUUUCAGACUUGCCAGUCUCAAUUCUUAAAAUAAAUCUCUCCCUCUCUCA
This 442-nucleotide non-coding RNA is filed under the name Pongo abelii (Sumatran orangutan). The record is from RNAcentral. Lineage: Eukaryota; Metazoa; Chordata; Mammalia; Primates; Hominidae.